GUCUACAGUCAUGCUACCCUGAACAAGCUCAGUCCUGUCUGAUCUCAGAAGCUAGGCAGGGUUGGGCCUGGUUAGCACUUGGAUGGGAGACCACCUAGGAAGAUCAGGUGCUCUAGGUG
Molecule: ribosomal RNA, 119 nt
Organism: Pteropus vampyrus (large flying fox)
Lineage: Eukaryota; Metazoa; Chordata; Mammalia; Chiroptera; Pteropodidae
Source: Ensembl